UAUGUUUUAUGCUAAAAAUCAUUCAAAGUGUACUUGGGAAAGUCUGUUAUAAUUGUAACAAAGUUUGUGAUAAUAUGCAAAUGAGAGUACAGCCAAAAGACGGGAGGAGAGGAGGUGGCGAUGUCUCGCCUGUUGCUCUGUUGUGUGUUGGUUGCUUACUGCUUGUGGAUGGUUUGUUUAAACGUACAGAUUGUGUCUGUGGAUAAUAUUCUACUCUUGCAUUGUGAAUUAUUGUUAUUUGAAAGUGAAGUUUGUUUUAGGAAUUAUUCUUAUUUAUUACAGGCGAGAUUUCAGUCUUGUAAGUUGUUUUUCUUUUGCUUACUAAUAAAAAGUUACAAUUUGGUAAAUGGAGCAGUUUGUUGAUCUAAUUCGGCACUUGUUGGGGGCUAAUGAACUAAAUAUUCAAAUAAAAAUUAGCUUCGAUAAAAAGCCUGUUAGGCUGGGAUCACGGGGUCCGAACCGACGUGAAAACGUGGGCGAAGUCCCCGUUUUUACAACGUGAAGCAGUGAGAUAAAAAAUUAAGGUUUAUUAACGACAAAAGCGUUUUCGGUAUCAGCUAUACUAUCUUCAGUUGCACAUAACAAAACAAUAGAAUUAGAAGCGUUUUACAAAAAUUAAACAGUGG
RNAcentral lists this long non-coding RNA (626 nucleotides) under Androctonus crassicauda. Lineage: Eukaryota; Metazoa; Arthropoda; Arachnida; Scorpiones; Buthidae. The record is from RNAcentral.